UGACCCAUCUUCCAGCACAGUAGGUGGCGGUAAUGCACCAUUAACGCUGGAGGCCAAACGUCGAUUAAUCCCACCGAAGAAGAACUGCUCAUUGUCGCGCAUGCGUUCCUCGAUGUAUGCCAAGGCACAAAAGUGGCGCUAUAUCGUUUCAACCUCUACUCAGGUAAGAAUGUCCAAUACCUUUUGUACAAUUUUACGGGUAAUUAGUCAAAGUUUCAACAACUAGCUAUGGUGUAAGACAGAUGUCCACGGACUUCCCGUGUCUCCUGAUAUGUUUUAAAGUGGUAGCAGCCUAAAUGAUGGAUGGGGAACACCAGGAAGAGAAGCCUUCACAUGAGAAAGAAAAUGCUCUACACAAUGAAGAGAAGACUUCAUGUGAUGUGGAGAAGACUUUAUGUGACAUGGAGAGAGCUUUGUGUGACAUAAAGAAGAGUGCUGAAGAGAGCAUUUCAAGUAAUGAGGAGAACAGUUCAGAUGAUGAGGUUGGACAAAGACUGGAUUCAAAAGUCCCAAGUGGCUCAGAGCCUCUUCCAUCUAAUGCAGAACACCCCUGCGAUAAUGAAUCUGAGCUGUUGCCACAAAAAACCUCCCAAGCUAAAAAACCUCAACGCAAAAAAUUCGCGCCACGGAAAGGUACAAGGUCAAGCUUACGUUCUAGCACAAAAAUGACAGUCAGCGCAUGUAGUAUGACAGAUGAUGGUAAAAGAAAAUGGGACAAAAAACACUUCUGCCUGUAUUGCAAUGAACCACACCACAAAAUUGCAAGACAUUUAGAAAGGAUACACGCCGAAGAAGCAGCUGUCGCUCAUGCUAUGAGCUUCCCUAAACUCUCCAAAAUCAGGUCUCUUUUGCUUGACCAACUCCGUAACAAAGGCAACUAUCAAGUUCUUCAAAGUGGAGAUGGUGAAAUUGUGACUAAGGAUAGACCCUCUUACAAUGGUGUUUCUGUGCGUGACUGCCUGCCCUGCCAACACUGCUUAGCUUUUUUCAACAAAAUAGAUUUAUGGAAGCAUGAGGGCUCAUGUAAAGCCAGAAAAGGACAAGAUGAAAAGAGGGGAGGAAAAAGAGUGCGGGUCCAAGCUGCAUCCUCUCGACUUCUUCCACUGCCUGUCUACUCUACUGGAGGGUGUGAAGAAAUAAUACACAAUAUGAAUCAAGAUGACAUCUUAUGCCACAUCAAAAAUGAUCCCCUGAUAUGUAAAUAUGGCAAUGCACUAUCUGCAAAGCAUGGCCAUGCCAAGUCACAGUUUACAUACAUUGGAUCAAAAAUGAGGGAAUUGGCUAGAUUUGUACUUACUGUAAAUGAGAUGGACUGUGGUGUCCAAUAUCUGCAUGAAGUAUGUGUACCAUCCAAAUUCAAAUUGGCCGUUCAUGCUGCCAGGAAAAUGAGUGGUUUUGAUCCUGCCUCCGACAGGUACAAGACCCAAUCUCUUCCUUUAAAGAUCGGCUAUUCCUUGAAAAGAGCUACUGAAAUAGCUUUUGGGGAGAGUCGUAUGACAGAGGACCGUGAUGCAGAGGCACAAGCCAGAAGGUUCAUUGAGCUUCUUGAAAACGAUUGGAAUAACUGUUUUUCCGGUUUGUCCCUCAGCGCUGUGCCUCAGUGUGAUGAAGUUGAUGUGUCUUCACUAACUGAGGAUUUGAUUAAACUUCAGAAGUUUCUCAAGGUUGCAGAGGACACAGCAAAGAGAGAAUUGCUCGAGAGCCCCACCAACGCUGUCUGGAAAAAGCUCAAUGAAACUCUUCUUGCCGAAAUAGCUCUCUUCAACAGAAAAAGGACAGGAGAGGUUGCGAAAAUGCUGUUGGAAACAUACACAAACAGAAAGAAAUCUCCAGCUAGCGCAGACAUUUUCAAUAGCCUCUCAAGGCUGGAACAGGAGCUUGGUGACGACAAAUUAACCAGGGUGGAAAUAGAAGGUAAAAAUGGUAGAACAAUGCCGGUCCUACUAACGGCGAGGAUGAUCUCAUCUCUUGAGAUCCUAAUUGCAAACCGAGACAAAGUUGGUGUGUCAAAGGACAACCCUUAUGUCUUUGCACGGAGCCCAGAUGCAGCAAGCUACGUCAGAGGGUCUGACUGUUUGAGGAAAUUUGCUCAUGAGUGUGAUGCAAAGAAUCCUGAAAGUCUGAUCCAUGCUACAGUGAGGAAAGAGGUUGCUAUCCAUUGCCAAAUUCUGAACUUAAAUGAAAGUGAAUUGGAUCAGGUGGCAAAAUUAUUGGGACAUGACACCCAGGUCCACAAAGAGUACUACAGACUGUCUGAAAACGCAGCACAUCUAGCAGAAAUCAGCAAAUUGCUGCUUGCAAUGGAUCAGGUUCCAGUGGUAAUUCCAGGACCAUCUGAGGAAAGGAUUGUUUCACCUACAUAUGGGGCAUAUUCUGCAGGGACAUAUUCAGCGGGAACCGAUUCUGCGAGGGCGUAUCCUGCUGGCACAUAUACCACUGGGUCAUCUUAUCCUACAGCGACAUAUUCCGCAAAGUCAUAUACAUUGGGGGCACAGCCUUCAAGGUCAUAUCAUGCUGGGACAUAUCCUGAGAAGUCAUAUCCUUCUGGAUCACAUUCUGCAAGGUCAUAUCAUGCUGGGACAGAUUGUGCAAGGGUGUAUCCUACUGGGAUAAAUCCUGCUAGAUCAUAUUCUGUGACACAUCCUGCAGAGACCUAUCCAGCAGCUUCGUAUGCUGCUGGGACACAUCUUGCAAGUUCAUAUCCUGCAAGUCCUUAUGACCUAUCAUCUCCUGCAAGAUCAUAUACUUCGGGGACAAAUCCUGCAAAAUCAUAUCCUGAAGAGACAUAUCCUAUGGGGACAUAUCGUGCAGGGACACAUCUUGCGGGUUCACAACUUGCAAGGUCAUAUUCUGCCGGAACAUAUCCUGCACAGACACUUCCAGCGCGUACUGUUAUUACGCCAACACUUAAUGCACAGACACUUCCUGUUGGGGCAGUGCCUGCGGUUGCCGUUCCUUUGGGUGCAGUUCCUUUGGGGACAGGUUCUGUGGGGACAGAUAAGGUGGGCACAGUGUGGAAACAGAGGAUGUGGAGUGAUGCAGCUAAGGCUGCGGUGAACCGUCAGAUGGGACACUUUAUCUCAAUGAUGGAGGUUCCAGGUAAACAGGACUGUGAAGUUUGCCUGCACAAUGAACCAGCACUAAGAGACAGGACAUGGAGGGACAUCAAAAACUAUGUGCACAACACAGUAAAAUCUAUAAAACGAAAGAAUGGCCUUACAAGAGUGGACCCCACAAAACAGACAAAGAAAGGAGCAGCAAAGAAACAAAAAGAGGCGAAGCGUGCUAAAGAAUGGGUUGGUGGAACAAUGGCAGUACCUGCAGUGGGUCAAGAAGGCAGACUUGAGGCAGGUCCUGUGGCAACACCAAGGAAACAGAAGAUAUGGAGUAAUGAGGCUCAGGCUGCGGUCAGGCGGCAGCUAGGAGACUUCACUAAACUGAUGAAGAUUCCAGGUAAAAAGGAAUGUGAUGCAUGUCUUGCAGCUGAACCAGCUCUGCAAGGCAGGACAUGGAAAGAUGUAAAAAACUAUGUGCGUAAUACAUUAAUGACAAUGUGCAGGAGGCAUAUUUCAGGCAAACAAAACAUGGACCAUGAAAAACCAAGUCCAAGGACACCGAAACCAGGGGUCCAACAAAAUCCAGGGGUGCAUCAGAAACCAGGGACGCUGUUGGGACUUCCAGAAGAUCCUCCUGUUUAUCUGUAUUUAUGA
Molecule: long non-coding RNA, 3710 nt
Organism: Oncorhynchus kisutch (coho salmon)
Lineage: Eukaryota; Metazoa; Chordata; Actinopteri; Salmoniformes; Salmonidae
Source: Ensembl